This 254-nucleotide ribosomal RNA is filed under the name uncultured bacterium. RNAcentral's name for it is "partial 16S ribosomal RNA". It matches the Rfam family "Bacterial small subunit ribosomal RNA", at positions 524 to 776 of the family's 1533-position model. The record is from RNAcentral.
CACGUAGGGGGCGAGCGUUGUCCGGAUUUAUUGGGCGUAAAGAGCUCGUAGGCGGCUCAGUAAGUCGGGUGUGAAAACUCCAGGCUCAACCUGGAGACGCCACCUGAUACUGCUGUGGCUAGAGUCCAGUAGGGGAGCAUGGAAUUCCUGGUGUAGCGGUGAAAUGCGCAGAUAUCAGGAGGAACACCAGUGGCGAAGGCGGUGCUCUGGGCCGGAACUGACGCUGAGGAGCGAAAGCGUGGGGAGCGAACAGG